RNAcentral lists this unclassified non-coding RNA (503 nucleotides) under uncultured Paraglomus. Its description in RNAcentral is "SSU rRNA". It matches the Rfam family "Eukaryotic small subunit ribosomal RNA", at positions 569 to 1078 of the family's 1831-position model. Lineage: Eukaryota; Fungi; Glomeromycota; Glomeromycetes; Paraglomerales; Paraglomeraceae. The record is from RNAcentral.
AGCAGCCGCGGUAAUUCCAGCUCCAAUAGCGUAUAUUAAAGUUGUUGCAGUUAAAAAGCUCGUAGUUGAAUUUCGGGAUCAGUACGCCGGUCGUGCCUUCGGUAUGCACUGGUGUCACUGGUUUCUCCCUUCUGAAGAACCAUCAUGCCAUUCAGUUGGUGUGGCGGGGAAUCAGGACUGUUACUUUGAAAAAUUAGAGUGUUUAAAGCAGGCUCGCGCUUGAAUACAUUAGCAUGGAAUAAUGAAAUAGGACGUUUGACCCUAUUUUGUUGGUUUCUAGGAUCGACGUAAUGAUUAAUAGGGAUAGUUGGGGGCAUUAGUAUUCAAUUGUCAGAGGUGAAAUUCUUGGAUUUAUUGAAGACUAACUACUGCGAAAGCAUUUGCCAAGGAUGUUUUCAUUAAUCAAGAACGAAAGUUAGGGGAUCGAAGACGAUCAGAUACCGUCGUAGUCUUAACCAUAAACUAUAGCCGACUAGGGAUCGGAUGAUGUUAAUUUUAAUGUA